Molecule: ribosomal RNA, 268 nt
Filed under: uncultured Thauera sp.
Lineage: Bacteria; Pseudomonadati; Pseudomonadota; Betaproteobacteria; Rhodocyclales; Zoogloeaceae
Description: partial 16S ribosomal RNA
Rfam family: Bacterial small subunit ribosomal RNA
Source: RNAcentral
AGUUGCCAUCAUUUAGUUGGGCACUCUAGUGAGACUGCCGGUGGACAAACCGGAGGAAGGUGGGGAUGACGUCAAGUCCUCAUGGCCCUUAUGGUAGGGCUUCACACGUCAUACAAUGGUCGGUACAGAGGGUUGCCAAGCCGCGAGGUGGAGCCAAUCCCUUAAAGCCGAUCGUAGUCCGGAUCGUAGUCUGCAACUCGACUACGUGAAGUCGGAAUCGCUAGUAAUCGCAGAUCAGCAUGCUGCGGUGAAUACGUUCCCGGGUCUU